Oncorhynchus mykiss (rainbow trout) is the source of this 1974-nucleotide non-coding RNA. The record is from RefSeq and is a predicted model, not a curated record. NCBI's taxonomy places the organism in Eukaryota, Metazoa, Chordata, Actinopteri, Salmoniformes, Salmonidae.
CAGCUCUGGUGGACAUUCCUGCAGUCACAUGCCAUUUGCACACUUCUUCAAAACUUGAGAUAUCUGUAGUAUUUUUUUAUGAAAAAACCUGCACAUUUGACUGUCCUUUUAUUGUCCUUUGUAAUGAUCAUGCUGUUUAAUCAGCUUCAUGAUAUGUCACACCUGUCAGGUGGAUGGAUUAUCUUGGCAAAGGAGAAAUGCUCAAUAACAGGGACGUAAAACACAUCUGUGCACAACGUUUGAGAAAUAAGCUCUUUGUGCGAUCUGGGAUGAUCUCUGGGAUCAGGAACGUUCAGAAGACCAGUUGUUUACUGGAGAUGCCACUUACAUAUAAAAUCCUUUGUUGAUUCUGCAGAUGUGACCAGAAGGUGGUGUGUGUGUGUGGGGGGGGGGCAAUAAACCCAAUCUAUUAGUAACUAGUAGAUGGUCACUGCUGUAGUUGUGUUAGCUAUACAGAAUCUCAAUGUAGUAUUUGCUCAACCAUUUCAAAAACUGAAGAAACAAAAUAAUGUUUGGUUAAAAAUCUUUAUUUUAAAUGUUUAUUUCAAGGUCUCACAAAUUCCAUAUUCCUAUAAAAGAUUUCUCAUCCCUCUGCUACCGUUGCAACAUGCCUAACUAACACCUGCACCAAAGCAUGUUAUUUUGUCAUGUGAAAGACCAAAACCCCCAAGGAAGCCUCUGGAACAAAUGUUUCUGAUCAUCUCUGCAUUGCAAUCGUGCAUUAAUUCAACUUCACUGUGUAUCAACUUCACUGUCCUCUCAGUCAUAAUAUCAGAAUUUAAAAAAGGAAUGAUAUGUAGUCAUGGUGGAGAGAGAGGGAAAUGAAACCUCACUGGACGGUUGUAGGACACGCUGCCAACCAAUAACAGCCCUGAAUAGCAGUUUGUAGUGGAGAGCUAAAACGAUCACUGUGUGACGAGUCCAUCUACAGCACAUGGAAGCCUGGGCCAACAAAGGGUUUGAGAGGACUCCUUUUCCCUUUCAACAGACUGUUGUCUACAGGGAGAGUUCACCUGAAUGUCAUCAUUUUCUUCAGCUUGCAAGGUUGUCGUCGGGCCAGGGAGUGUCUACAACUACAAAUAGGAGGUUAUUAUUACGUUGCCAAAGCAACCACAGACACACUUUAGCGUCGCUAUCGACUACCCCCCCGAGGCGUGGUUUUACGCAGAGUUCAUUUUGGCACGCAAUUUAGUUAAAGCUAUAACGAGUGAAACUGAGGUUAUCAAUACCAAUCUUAGCUGUAGGAAAGUAACCGAAUCCGAACUGUAGUUGCAGUCAAUCACAAAAACAAAACAAAAAAAAUAGAUCAAUUACAGAUCAAUUACCCUUUAAAAGUGACCCCAUGGAGUGCAGUGCAAAGGAGCCCAGGUUGUGUCUCAAGGUCUUAAAAACACUGGGAGAGUGGAGGCACCUCAAUAGUCGAAUGUGGUUUCAUCUCCUCACCUUUCACCUGCUCUAAAAGAGGUGGAGAGGAGAAAGAAAAGAACCCUUCGCCGUCCUGACCUGUCGACCCAGGAGAAGAGGAGACGAGGAGAUCAUCCUUUAGACUAUUGAAACACACCCAGGGUCUCUCUGGCCUCAGCCUCACCAAUAGUCAGGCCCUCCAGGAAUUCACAGUGAUUUUUUUUGUGGAAUUUUCUGAGAGAAAAAAAAUAAGGUUUAUUUUGCCGCUGCAAUUCUGCAUGGCGAUAUACGAUGAUUUUAUCCAAUUGGUCUGGAAAAUACACUGAUGAGGGAAAAGUUUUGUCGUGUGGCUUGAAUGAACUAUAUUACGCGGUAAAUGUGAGGUGAUUGGUUGAAAUUGCAAGCUCUCUUUUUGUACUGCGGUGAUGGGUACAUUUUAUGCGAUAAUAUUGCGACGAUUUGACUGCUUUAUUCGGAGAUGGUGCGGUGAUUGGUCAAAUUUGCAAGCCCUCACAUAAUAUGCAGGGAAUUUGUUGAUUUAGCAAAAAAAAAAAAAAAAUGAUUGGAGGA